CCUUCAUGUGGUCUUAUGGUGGGUGCACUUUUGAAGGCAGAGGAGAAGUUGAAAAACUUGGGGUCUAGGAAUUUCUUCUUGUGCUCAAAGCCUUCAAACUCAAACUCACCGUCUGUCAAUACAAGGAAGCAAUAGCAGUGACCAUCAAAUCUGCAUUUCCAUUUCUAAAGUUGAUGUACUUCUUGCCAUAGUUCCUUUGGUUAAUUUCUCCAGUUAGCUAUGUAGCUUAGCACAGCACAUUUU
RNAcentral lists this unclassified non-coding RNA (243 nucleotides) under Hevea brasiliensis (rubber tree). Lineage: Eukaryota; Viridiplantae; Streptophyta; Magnoliopsida; Malpighiales; Euphorbiaceae. The record is from RNAcentral.